This is a long non-coding RNA of Triticum dicoccoides, 633 nucleotides long. RefSeq lists it as uncharacterized. The transcript is spliced from 5 exons. NCBI's taxonomy places the organism in Eukaryota, Viridiplantae, Streptophyta, Magnoliopsida, Poales, Poaceae. The record is from RefSeq and is a predicted model, not a curated record.
GAUGGCGGCGGCGGCUCCCUCUGGUGGCGGAGGAGGGGGGAGAUGGUGGCGGCGGCGCCCUCUGGUGGCGGAGGAGGAGGCCCCUGCCAUGGUGUCUCAGCUCUAGGCCCUCCUGCUUGACCGUGACACCCACCCUCAAGAUCCACUCGACAGAUCACGCGGCUGGCUCUCGAGCUCUACUGCGAUCCCCGAGGAUGUGCUAAGGAUGUGAAGGUCCAUCCCCGGCCCAUGGCUGCUGCCAGAUUAGGCUGGUUGAGUGCGGGCUGAUCUGCAGGCUCGACUUUUUGUUUUGGAGGUUGCUGCUCGUCGUUGGUUAUAUGGGGAGGCGUUUUGGUGGUCCAAGUUUCCUAGGCAAUGCUUUUGCUGGCAGGGAAAGUUCAGAGGAAUAUGCUUUGAGAGGUGUCAUAAUAUGAAAGGAAACAAUUAGUUCUGCCCAAGGGUGUUUCUUUGUACCGGGGCAUUGUCUCCAUAUGCUAGAUGAAAUCCAUGCCUCCCACAGUUAUUGAAGGUGUGUUGCUUCCAUUUGCAAGUAAGAAAGUAAUGCUCCUAAUGAAUUUCCUACAGUUUUUGUGCUCUGCUGAACUUUCCUUUAUUUUGUCAUUUUGGCGGGUGUAUUCCAUCGGAUUUUGCAGA